UACGAAGGGGGCUAGCGUUGUUCGGAAUUACUGGGCGUAAAGCGCGUGUAGGCGGGGCGUUAAGGCGGGGGUGAAAGCCCAGAGCUCAACUCUGGAACUGCCUUCGAUACUGGCGACCUGGACCCAAGGAGAGGCGAGUGGAAUUCCGAGUGUAGAGGUGAAAUUCGUAGAUAUUCGGAGGAACACCAGUGGCGAAGGCGACUCGCUGGACUUGUGGUGACGCUGAGACGCGAAGGCGUGGGGAGCAAACACG
RNAcentral lists this ribosomal RNA (253 nucleotides) under uncultured bacterium. Its description in RNAcentral is "partial 16S ribosomal RNA". It matches the Rfam family "Bacterial small subunit ribosomal RNA", at positions 524 to 776 of the family's 1533-position model. The record is from RNAcentral.